AUAGGCUGCAGGCCUCUACUCCUACUUUAUAGGGGCGUGUAAGCCAUAAAAAAGGAGGAAGCAAAUCCCGUCGGGCCGGCGGUGCGGCAGUGUGGAGACCUGUCGUAAUGUCCGUGCAGGUUCGCUCUGCGCGGAUAAGGGGCGCUUGCGGGAGCAGGUAGUCCCACGGCUUGUAUACAUGGCA
Non-coding RNA from Anaerotruncus colihominis DSM 17241, 184 nucleotides. The record is from Rfam. Lineage: Bacteria; Bacillati; Bacillota; Clostridia; Eubacteriales; Oscillospiraceae.